Molecule: transfer RNA, 73 nt
Filed under: Blumeria graminis f. sp. tritici 96224
Lineage: Eukaryota; Fungi; Ascomycota; Leotiomycetes; Helotiales; Erysiphaceae
Also listed under: 2 other names
Description: tRNA-Lys (CTT) (tRNA-Lys-CTT-2-1)
Rfam family: tRNA
About the family: Transfer RNA (tRNA) molecules are approximately 80 nucleotides in length. Their secondary structure includes four short double-helical elements and three loops (D, anti-codon, and T loops).
Source: RNAcentral
GCCCGGGUAGCUCAAUCGGUAGAGCGUGUGGCUCUUAACCUCAAGGUCGCGGGUUCAAGCCCCGCCUCUGGCU